AGGGGAUGUCCUGAUAUGUGUGUAAGGAAUGCAUUGUGUGAAUCUGUGUUUGUAUGUGUAAGGGCUGCAAUGUGUGUUUCAAUGUAUGUACGGGAUGCAGUGUGUGCGUGUGUAAGGGGUGCAUUGAGUGUGUGUAAGGAAUGCAUUGUGUUUCUGUGUGUGUAAGGGAUGCAUUGUGUGUAAGGGUUGAAUUGCUUGUGUGUGUGUGUGUGUGUGUCUGUGUGUGUAAUGCAUUGUGCGUUUUUCUGUGUGCAAGGGGUGCAUUGUGUGUGUGUGUGUGAUGGAUGUCAAUCUCUC
Molecule: long non-coding RNA, 297 nt
Filed under: Pelobates cultripes (western spadefoot toad)
Lineage: Eukaryota; Metazoa; Chordata; Amphibia; Anura; Pelobatidae
Source: RNAcentral